RNAcentral lists this ribosomal RNA (497 nucleotides) under uncultured bacterium. RNAcentral describes it as "partial 16S ribosomal RNA". It matches the Rfam family "Bacterial small subunit ribosomal RNA", at positions 28 to 507 of the family's 1533-position model. The record is from RNAcentral.
GAUGAACGCUGGCGGCGUGUCUAAUACAUGCAAGUCGAGCGAACAGACGAGGAGCUUGCUCCUCUGACGUUAGCGGCGGACGGGUGAGUAACACGUGUAUAACCUACCUAUAAGACUGGGAUAACUUCGGGAAACCGGAGCUAAUACCGGAUAAUAUAUUGAACCGCAUGGUUCAUUAGUGAAAGACGUUUUUUCUGUCACUUAUAGAUGGAUCCGCGCCGCAUUAGCUAGUUGGUAAGGUAACGGCUUACCAAGGCAACGAUGCGUAGCCGACCUGAGAGGGUGAUCGGCCACACUGGAACUGAGACACGGUCCAGACUCCUACGGGAGGCAGCAGUAGGGAAUCUUCCGCAAUGGGCGAAAGCAUGACGGAGCAACGCCGCGUGAGUGAUGAAGGUCUUCGGAUCGUAAAACUCUGUUAUUAGGGAAGAACAAAUGUGUAAGUAACUAUGCACGUAUUGACGGUAACUAAUCAGAAAGCCACGGCUAACUACGUG